GUUUUGUUUUGUUGACUCACAUUUCCCCUGUUGAGUGAGUUAUUUUUAUUUAUUUGUACAACUGCACAUGUUGAGCUUUACACAUAACUGAGGAUGUUGCUGUCCAUCCAGGUUCACAAUGCUCAGUUUUGAAUGUUGGGUACCAAGCUGAAGAAGCAGUGCAGUACGUUCACCAUGCACCAAGUGAAAGUUGAUUCCUGCAGUAGCAGUUGCAUAAAGUGACAACAUUUACUACUGUUGUGAAGAGCUGCAGUUCUGUAUGUGAAGCAUCUUGAUCUGAAAAAUAGUCCUGUACAUCCCUGACAAUAAAUUUUAAGGUAUCGAACUUCGCA
RNAcentral lists this long non-coding RNA (332 nucleotides) under Zonotrichia albicollis (white-throated sparrow). Its description in RNAcentral is "lncRNA (ENSZALG00000002260.1)". The record is from RNAcentral. Lineage: Eukaryota; Metazoa; Chordata; Aves; Passeriformes; Passerellidae.